Non-coding RNA from Procambarus clarkii (red swamp crayfish), 1754 nucleotides. The record is from RefSeq and is a predicted model, not a curated record. NCBI's taxonomy places the organism in Eukaryota, Metazoa, Arthropoda, Malacostraca, Decapoda, Cambaridae.
UUACAAAUUCGCUAUUUUUUUGACCGUCAGCUGGCUACUUUCAGUAAUUUGUAUCUGGCAACCGUGCUCAAGACGACACAUUAAACACUUAGAGCUUGUGUGACCGUCAGCGGUAACACGUCACACGGGCUCACCAUAGCCCGUGCUGCAUGGACACUUCGUCCUGGGGAGGUAAAUCUCUAACAACAACAACAGGUAACACGUCACCAUAGCUACACUACGCGUGCAGUCAUCUACAUGUGCACUUGUUAACGGCACACUUGGAAAGUCCCCUGGUUCCAUUGCUGUGGCAGAACAGAAGCAACAUACCCUUUCACCAUAUGCCUCUGUUCACCUAGCAGUUAACAGAGUUGUUGCAGUAAAAUAAACAAAAAAAGGAAGAAAUCAUAUUUUUAUCAUGGAGAAUAUUCAUAACAUGAAGAAUUGUGGUUGGGUAACAGAAGAGCCAAUAAAAUUGAAAGAAUACUUCAGUGAAUAUCACACUUUACUGGAUAGUGUUUGUGGUCUUCCUCACAAUGAGAAGUUACUGAUCACUAGUUCCUUGGCGUCGCUUUAACUUUGCACCCGUUCUACAAGAUGUAACCAAAGUUCUCGGUGUACAGCUGCUGCUCUCGGAUGCUCAUUGACAAUCCAAGGCUACACUCGAUGGCUACUUAAGGCAGAUUCCUUGGCUUCUCUUCAGCUCUAUCAUCCAUUUGGAGGCCAACAUGAGAUGGAGACCAAGGGUAAUGUUCCCCGCUUCCAUACUUAGUACAGUACAGUAAUUUGUUGUAUUUGUCGCGCUUCGGACACAAGCAUGUUACAGAUAUGCCUUAACGUAUUGCUUUCUUAUAUUCCAUUUAUUGUUUAUAUAUUGACUUAAUAUUAUAUAUCCGUUCUAUGGUAUAUGUAUUGAUUAUAUAUUAUGAUUGUGUAUUAUAUUAUAACCGAUUGUAUUUGUUUUGAGCCACCCUUGCCGAUUUACUUCUGGCUAUCUUAUCCUGCCUUUAUUCCUAGCAACGGUAUUUCGCUCCCUUCGUUUCACUGAAAGUUUCAUUAGAAUUGUUAGCUACCUUACAUUGCUGCAGUAUAGUUAUUAUACAAACUUAUUCUCCUUCCUCCCCCAGUGUUUUCUGUGCCAAUGUUUCUAUUUGGGGUUUCAUCCAGGAUUGUUUAAUUAAGGAAUCUUUUUAAAUCCUGCAUCAGGGCACCCCCCUCCCUCCCUCUUAUGCCAAUCUCCUGCACUACCCUUAUUAGCUAGGUCUCCUCCAUAUUAAUUCAGAUAGGGUUUACCCCUCUCAACCGAGUUUUUGCUUGUCAUGUUACAACUGCAUGCCCGCUUCUGCCCACCCUUACUGCUUUAUUACUUUCAGCCCGGGAAAGGUGAUCUACUCGGCAAAAGGUCGACACACGCUUUGACUGGAUCAGGUAUCAUUUACAUGGUCAAGAAUAGACAUUAUCUUCGGAUCCUACAAGCACAGUGCGGGACGCACGCCUACCCUAGCCUGGGGCCAAGCCCGGCCCGUGCCCCAGUGACCAGGCAAGACUUCUCCAGGAUGCUUCGCGCCGCCAUCGCAGUGCUAGGCUCGCCUCCAGCUGAUUACGCCCCUCACUCCUUUAGAAUUGGCAGGGCCACUUGGUUGUCUCUCCACUCGUCUCGGUACACGUGUCGUUGCUGCUCCUUCUCAGGAUGUAGCUUCCCGCUUGGCUGCCUUAUCCUGCCUUGGCGAGAUCCCUGUUCGGGUCUCAAAGAACGCUCGGUUGAAUGCCAGUGU